This 72-nucleotide transfer RNA is filed under the name Planctomycetota bacterium. RNAcentral's name for it is "Planctomycetes bacterium (freshwater metagenome) tRNA-Lys". It matches the Rfam family "tRNA". From Rfam's summary of the family: Transfer RNA (tRNA) molecules are approximately 80 nucleotides in length. Their secondary structure includes four short double-helical elements and three loops (D, anti-codon, and T loops). Further hydrogen bonds mediate the characteristic L-shaped molecular structure. tRNAs have two regions of fundamental functional importance: the anti-codon, which is responsible for specific mRNA codon recognition, and the 3' end, to which the tRNAs corresponding amino acid is attached (by aminoacyl-tRNA synthetases). tRNAs cope with the degeneracy of the genetic code in two manners: having more than one tRNA (with a specific anti-codon) for a particular amino acid; and 'wobble' base-pairing, i.e. permitting non-standard base-pairing at the 3rd anti-codon position. Lineage: Bacteria; Pseudomonadati; Planctomycetota. The record is from RNAcentral.
GCCUUGUGGGUGUAACGGUUGGCAUAGCGGACUCUUAAUCCGUCGGACUGGGUUCAAUUCCCAGGCGAGGCA